RNAcentral lists this long non-coding RNA (238 nucleotides) under Prunus persica (peach). RNAcentral describes it as "long non-coding RNA (PPER_LNC004605)". Lineage: Eukaryota; Viridiplantae; Streptophyta; Magnoliopsida; Rosales; Rosaceae. The record is from RNAcentral.
UGUUAUUGAAUUGAUGGUCAACAUAUGCUUCAGAAACUCCAGAAUUAGUAGAGGUGGCUAAAAAAGUAUUAUUUAAUUUUACUAUUUAUUAAAUAUUAUUUUAUAUAUUAUUAAUUCAAUUGAUUGUUUUUAAGGAGAAAUAUUUUUGCUUACCACUUUAACCCAAGGUGUACCCUCACCACCCUUCUCAACACUUGACAUGUGUCCAUUGGCAUAACCGUAGUUAGCUCUUUACUUU